AGAGUUUGAUCAUGGCUCAGGAUUAACGCUAGCGGCAGGCCUAAUACAUGCAAGUCGAACGGCAGCACGGGUAGCAAUACCUGGUGGCGAGUGGCGCACGGGUGCGUAACGCGUAUGCAACUUACCUAUGACUGGGGAAUAGCUCUCCGAAAGGAGGAUUAAUACCGCAUAAUAUCACGAAGCGGCAUCGUUUUGUGAUCAAAACUCCGGUGGUUAUAGAUAGGCAUGCGUGACAUUAGCUAGUUGGUGAGGUAACGGCUCACCAAGGCGACGAUGUCUAGGGGGUCUGAGAGGAUGAUCCCCCACACUGGUACUGAGACACGGACCAGACUCCUACGGGAGGCAGCAGUAAGGAAUAUUGGACAAUGGCCGCAAGGCUGAUCCAGCCAUGCCGCGUGCAGGAUGAAGGUGCUCUGCAUUGUAAACUGCUUUUAUUUGGGAAUAAACCCCUCUACGUGUAGAGGGCUGAAUGUACCGAAAGAAUAAGGGUCGGCUAACUUCGUGCCAGCAGCCGCGGUAAUACGAAGGACCCAAGCGUUAUCCGGAUUUAUUGGGUUUAAAGGGUGCGUAGGCGGAUUAUUAAGUCAGUGGUGAAAGCCUACAGCUUAACUGUAGAACUGCCAUUGAUACUGAUGAUCUUGAGUAUGAUUGAAGUGGGCGGAAUGUGUCAUGUAGCGGUGAAAUGCUUAGAUAUGACACAGAACACCGAUUGCGAAGGCAGCUCACUAAGCCAUAACUGACGCUGAUGCACGAAAGCGUGGGGAGCAAACAGGAUUAGAUACCCUAGUAGUCC
This 793-nucleotide ribosomal RNA is filed under the name uncultured bacterium. RNAcentral describes it as "bacterial SSU rRNA". It matches the Rfam family "Bacterial small subunit ribosomal RNA", at positions 8 to 796 of the family's 1533-position model. The record is from RNAcentral.